GCCCGGUGCGGUGGUGCAUGCCUGUAAUCCCAGCUGCUCGGGAGGCUGAGGCAGGAGGAUCAAGAGUUCAAAAGCCAGCUUCAGCAAUGUCAAGGUGCUAAGCAACUCAGCGAGACCCUGUCUCUA
This 126-nucleotide small RNA is filed under the name Marmota monax (woodchuck). Lineage: Eukaryota; Metazoa; Chordata; Mammalia; Rodentia; Sciuridae. The record is from RNAcentral.